GCCGAGCCGCCACCCGGUGUUGGUUCCUUGUGGCCAAGAGACUCACUCGUCAACACCAUGUCAAAGACAGCACUCGCUCUUUUCGCCGUUGCGGCUUUCGCCACCCUUGCUUCUGCACAGGGCAGGUACCUUCGGACCUGCACUCGGCGGACUUGUUCCUAAUUUAAGAAAAUAAUUCGAAAAUAGAGACUGGACCCAUUUGGCCUUCGCUUGCACUCGAUGGGACUAACUUCUGACUCUCCGGCAGCAGAGACGCUAACUUGCUUCCGCACGGACCUGCCCUCAUUAUAGAAUAAAAGUGGAAUUUAAAAUA
Long non-coding RNA from Thrips palmi, 313 nucleotides. RefSeq lists it as uncharacterized. The transcript is spliced from 2 exons. Lineage: Eukaryota; Metazoa; Arthropoda; Insecta; Thysanoptera; Thripidae. The record is from RefSeq and is a predicted model, not a curated record.